AUUGAACGCUGGCGGCAGGCUUAACACAUGCAAGUCGAGCGGGGGAAGGUAGCUUGCUACCGGACCUAGCGGCGGACGGGUGAGUAAUGCUUAGGAAUCUGCCUAUUAGUGGGGGACAACAUCUCGAAAGGGAUGCCCAUACCGCAUACGUCUUACGAGAGAAAGCAGGGGAUCUUCGGACCGUGCGCUAAUAGAUGAGCCUAAGUCGGAUUAGCUAGUUGGUGGGGUAAAGGCCUACUAAGGCGACGAUCUGUAGCGGGUCUGAGAGGAUGAUCCGCCACACUGGGACUGAGACACGGCCCAGACUCCUACGGGAGGCAGCAGUGGGGAAUAUUGGACAAUGGGGGGAACCCUGAUCCAGCCAGGCCGCGUGUGUGAAGAAGGCCUUAUGGUUGUAAAGCACUUUAAGCGAGGAGGAGGCUACUUUAGUUAAUACCUAGAGAUAGUGGACGUUACUCGCAGAAUAAGCACCGGCUAACUCUGUGCCAGCCGCCGCAGUAA
RNAcentral lists this ribosomal RNA (501 nucleotides) under uncultured bacterium. Its description in RNAcentral is "partial 16S ribosomal RNA". It matches the Rfam family "Bacterial small subunit ribosomal RNA", at positions 30 to 523 of the family's 1533-position model. The record is from RNAcentral.